CCCCGGCCUUGCUCCCCGCAGGCCCCCUGCAGCAGCCCCUGGUUCAGCGUCGAACUGCGGUGCGUCGGAAAGUUCGUCCGAAGGCUCCUCGGCAAAACGCCUUGUCCCUGGUCUCAGCGCUCGCCUAGAAGAAUUUCUCUGCGGCCUCCCUUGUUACAGAAGCCGAGUGGCAGCAGAAUGUGUGAAGGGCCAUCCAAGAUUUCUGGACCC
This is a non-coding RNA of Struthio camelus australis, 210 nucleotides long. The record is from RefSeq and is a predicted model, not a curated record. Lineage: Eukaryota; Metazoa; Chordata; Aves; Struthioniformes; Struthionidae.